Molecule: long non-coding RNA, 244 nt
Filed under: Nicotiana benthamiana
Lineage: Eukaryota; Viridiplantae; Streptophyta; Magnoliopsida; Solanales; Solanaceae
Description: long non-coding RNA (NBEN_LNC033314)
Source: RNAcentral
GGGCGCCACAGCUGUCUUCCUCCAUAUGAUAUCACGCAAGAGGCGAAAGAAUCCCUUUACCUUAUUUACAAAAAAAGAACGCGGUCGAUCGGAGUACCCUUCCUCCUUUUUGAGGCUUUUAGGCCUCCGGUCAGUCAGGGGUUGACAUGAGACCGGAUUUUGGGGGGAAUCCAUUCUUUGCCCUGCUGUCUGUGGUAAGUCAGUCUGCUUUGCCUUCUCGCUCGAAUUCUUUUCAAUGUAAUUG